AGGAAACUUUAUAAAAUCAACCUAGAGCUUUUUGGUUCAGCUCAAUAACCUCACACCUUGGUAAUCUUGAGAACAACCUCUCUCAACCAAAGUGGAACACACAACAAAAAGAUGUAAGAGUUUUGGACAACACUUCAACUUGACAUGGAUCACUCAAGAAGAUUAGAAGAAGAAGAAGUGUAGAGCUUUGAAAAAAAGAGCACUUGGACACAACCUUGGAAUGUUGUAAGCUUUGAAGGUAGUGAACGUUAGAAGUAGAAAUGUGGAGCUCAAAGUGGAGAUUUGAAAAGCUCUUG
Molecule: long non-coding RNA, 296 nt
Filed under: Zostera marina
Lineage: Eukaryota; Viridiplantae; Streptophyta; Magnoliopsida; Alismatales; Zosteraceae
Description: long non-coding RNA (ZMAR_LNC001875)
Source: RNAcentral